AUUUCAAAUCUUACUCAGAGUCAAGUGGAGGAGUUGAGAAAGGAAAAUAGAGACAGAGAAAUAGCUUUUUCAGCUGGACUGAUGCAAUCUGGCAGUGGAUAUAUUGGUCCUUUUACCACUGAAAUCACACUAACCUACAAGAACGUCUUCACAAACAUUGGGAACGCCUACAACCCAAUUACAGGUAUUUUCACAGCCCCACUGAAAGGAGCGUACAUGUUCAGAGUCUCUGUAUUUGGUUAUGGUGGAACUUCAG
This is a long non-coding RNA of Megalobrama amblycephala (Wuchang bream), 256 nucleotides long. RefSeq lists it as uncharacterized. The transcript is spliced from 3 exons. NCBI's taxonomy places the organism in Eukaryota, Metazoa, Chordata, Actinopteri, Cypriniformes, Xenocyprididae. The record is from RefSeq and is a predicted model, not a curated record.